RNAcentral lists this ribosomal RNA (292 nucleotides) under uncultured bacterium. RNAcentral's name for it is "partial 16S ribosomal RNA". It matches the Rfam family "Bacterial small subunit ribosomal RNA", at positions 505 to 796 of the family's 1533-position model. The record is from RNAcentral.
GUGCCAGCCGCCGCGGUAAAACGUAGGACGCAAGCGUUAUCCGGAAUUACUGGGCGUAAAGCGCGUGUAGGUGGUUGCAUAAGUCACUGUUGAAAGCUCCCGGCUAAACUGGGAGAGGUGCGGUGAGACUGUGCGGCUAGAGUAUGGGAGAGGGAUGCAGAAUUCCGGGUGUAGUGGUGAAAUGCGUAGAGAUCCGGAGGAAUACCAGAGGCGAAGGCGGCAUCCUGGCCUAAAACUGACACUGAGACGCGAAAGCAUGGGGAGCGAACGGGAUUAGAUACCCGAGUAGUCC